Non-coding RNA from Mycena leptocephala, 99 nucleotides. The record is from the annotation of a GenBank genome assembly. NCBI's taxonomy places the organism in Eukaryota, Fungi, Basidiomycota, Agaricomycetes, Agaricales, Mycenaceae.
GUCACCAUGGCCGAGCGGUUAAGGCGCCUCAGCUCGUUGGGUGAGGUCCAUCACAAGUUGUUUCCUGAGGACACCUGGGUUCGAAUCCCAGUGAUGACG